Molecule: ribosomal RNA, 279 nt
Filed under: uncultured bacterium
Lineage: Bacteria
Description: partial 16S ribosomal RNA
Rfam family: Bacterial small subunit ribosomal RNA
Source: RNAcentral
UGCCAGCAGCCGCGGUAAUACGGAGGGGGCUAGCGUUGUUCGGAAUCACUGGGCGUAAAGCGCACGUAGGCGGGUCAGUCAGUCAGGGGUGAAAUCCCGAGGCUCAACCUCGGAACUGCCUCCAAAACUAUCAGUCUAGAGUUCGAGAGAGGUGAGUGGAAUUCCGAGUGUAGAGGUGAAAUUCGUAGAUAUUCGGAGGAACACCAGUGGCGAAGGCGGCUCACUGGCUCGAUACUGACGCUGAGGUGCGAAAGUGUGGGGAGCAAACAGGAUUAGAUA